This is a long non-coding RNA of Lates calcarifer (barramundi perch), 1482 nucleotides long. RefSeq lists it as uncharacterized. Lineage: Eukaryota; Metazoa; Chordata; Actinopteri; Centropomidae. The transcript is spliced from 3 exons. The record is from RefSeq and is a predicted model, not a curated record.
AAAGUCACGUGAAAUGAGCAGAUGUUCAGACUGUGCAGAGACUCGCCGUGCGGUGCAUUACUCUGCAGAGAGAGCGCGGAGGAGCUUUGCUUUCACACUGACACGAGCUAUAAGAGACCGUUAGUCCCGCAUCCAGAUCAUCCAGUAGGUUUGAUUAAAAUGGAUUUAUAAAAGGGCCACCUGCAGGGAGGGAUAUGGAUCUGACUGACAGCCGCGCUCAGACAAAGCAGGAGUGUCGGUACAGAACGCUGACUCAUGACAUGUGGCGUCAGGAUCCUUCAGUCCACCGACAGAGGAGACACCUGAUCAGAUGACCAAGACAAUGACGUCAGGAACAACAACAGUAACAAUAUGGUGCUGGCUUCAUCCUUCGUCCACAAUAGAGGACUGACUGUUUGUGACCUUAGUGCUAAAUCAAGUUCAAAGAGGACCGCCGGUAUUUGGCAGCUAGUUUUACAUGAGGGCAGAGGGAGAAACAGCGUGUUUGGUCAACCUCUGGCUCCCCCUUUGAUUCACAGCUCUCUGUGACCCCUGGCAGAGCGACACCACUUAAAGCCAUAUUCAUUCAGUCACACUGGUCAGUCUGAUAAGAUCUGGGUGAUAACCGACUUUACUUUCAGUCUCUGUGAAGUUAAUCAAAUUAGUUUUACUAGUCAGCACUUGAACACAAAUAUUCCACCCUUCUUUUUUUAAUGCACAGUUGCAAAUCAGGAAAAUCCUUUGGCAAUGUCGCAUAGAACAGUCACUCAAGUAAAAGACAGAAAUUAGAUUAGAGAAAUGUUAUAUGAAACAGUAACUGUGAGUGGUUGGACUCCUGAGGAAUGAGCCCACACUGUCACUGAAGAAUACUUUCACUCAGGCCUUUAUUAAUUAAAGCAGAGUUUAGGUUACAUGAAUACUAACAGGUUUAGAGGAACUGGAUACAUUUUGCAUGCUCAAAAUGUUGAGAGCUUCAUUCCAUUUAUACCUACAGCAUGAUUGUUUAAAUUCAUCUUGUGCCUGACUUCAGCCGCUGGCAUAUGUUUCUUUUGUAUUCAUCCCACGGAAAUAAAAGAGGAAAUGAAGCUUAAAUUGCUGAUGCAAUGAAUCAGAUCCUUGUUUAUCAUUUAAAAGAUCUACUUUCGGUGCAGCUGAUUGGCAGCCGUUCACUUUUCCCUUUCUAAAAUAUAUGAACAAGAUGUCAAAACCCACAGCAUCUACCGUGUGAAAGCAGCAGUUUAGUCUGGGCCACGUUAUGCUGUUUUUGAACCAAAUAGUCUGGUACCAGUGUUACAUUAUCCAAGAGCAGAAGAAAUGCAUGUGGCACAUUAACUUUCCACAGACAACGUCUGAAUACAACUGGAAACCCAUCAGGAAAAACAGCAACGUGUUUAUUUUGUAUUACAAGUGUAUUAUCACAUUAUAAGAAUGAAUAAUGUAUUGUGAUUAGGCUGCUGUUUUCUCUGGACAAAACUCAAAGUAUUAAUAAAAUAAUACUCCGAA